GUGAAAGUGGAGAAGAGUGAUCAUUUCCCUCUCUGCAGGCUGGAAAAAAGCAUGUUUGAUGUUUGCAAACAUAACAUCCACACGCUCAUCACUUCUACUAGUUGAAAAUCUAAAUCCAUUUACAUGAGCUUCCAGAGCACCAGGUAGUUUUCUUCCCCGGCCACCAAAUGCUGGACGGAUCCAAAGGUCCGCCAACCUUAUUGGCUUGAAUCUACUCCCAGCAAGCUGAAGUUUCUCCUGAGUAACCAAGGUUGCCCUCUCAGCCCUCUCAGACUCCCUAGCCACAACAUGCCGUCUAAGUGUCUUAAUCUGCUGUACCACUUCACUGAUGUGCCUAGGGUCCUUGGACCGAAAUGAAACUUCCUUCAGGUAAAUAGCCCCUGGGUACUUCAGUGAAUUUGCAUCGUGUGGACUAAAAGGAGUUCCCGGCACAUUAAAUAUAAUACGGAUAUAGCAAUUUCUGUUGGUGUCUUGCUGGCUGGAAACUGUCCUGAUUGUAGCAACAUGGAAAGGUACCAUACUCCCAUAAAUAGGCAGAAGCACAGCCUCAUUCUUCUGGUCUAUCUGAAUCAUUAGAUCUCUUGCAGGAGGAAUAUCAUUGACAUUCUUGUAUGCUAUCAAAUCAGUUGAAGUCUUUGCAGCUCCACGGUUGUCUCCUGUUGCUCUUUCUUCACCAGUAAGUCGCCUUGCAGUUUCUUCAUUCUUUUGACGGGCAAGCUCCGCCUGGUGCUGCCUGCGAAUCUCCUCCUUUGAGAUCUCCCCUGAAUCAGACCUUAGUGUUGUCUUGGACAUGAAGGCCUUUGUGCCAUUAGCCCCAGGUUUAGGUUCUGGUUUUACUUCAUCCUCUUCAGUGAAAGAGUAAGCCACAUCUUUAACAGCUUUUGAGCUCUUACAAGUUGCCACUUCUGGAUUUGUUUGGCCUACAAUAACAGUAUCAGCAACUAAUAGAGAAUAAUUCCGGAUCUUUGGGUUAUUUGUUUGGUUCUGUAAGUUCUGAAAACCGAGUGACAAAUUAAAAAUCAUAUUUGGCCUCAACGAUCGAUCAUUCUUGGCAUUAAGAUUCAGGCCAGACUCACGGAACUCAAGCCCAAUCCCUGUACCUACUGAUUUUGUCAGAUAGGGAACUAAUUCAGGAGCCUCUUUCUCAACCACUGACACAGCUGCUUGAUACACAGCACUGAUCUUGUUCCCAGGCUUUAAUGCACCAAUUGCUGCUUCAUGGGCUUUGAGCAGAACCUCAUAAGCCUUUCUCUGCAUUGGAUUGGCAUCAAUCAAGAAUGUCCUGGCAAGGUUUGAACAGUAAUUGUUAUAUCGGGCUCCAAUUGCAACUAUGAUGACACUGGCAGGAUCAUAGUAGAGAUACUCAUCAUUGCUGGCAGCACUGGGUCUGAGAUCAAAUUCUCCUCCACUUUGAAAUAUGGGAGGGUAACAUAUAUCACAAUUUUCUGCUUUUAACUUCGCCCUAGCUUUGGCAGGAUCCAUUAUGGCCUUCUCUGCGUCAUCCAUCAAAGCAGAAUGGGUAACUUUCUUCUCCUCAUCAAUAGCAUUCUCAAGAGUGGGAAUGACAACAUUGCUCAUCACACUAACACUCAAAUAAGCAGCUUUCUUUACAUUCAAAAUCUCUUCAGCAUCCUUGAAAGCAAGCAGGUCAGAAAACCCAUUAGUUACAUCGGCAAUCUGCUGGAAACCUGCAGUCUUCAGUUUUUCAGCCCAAGUCUCCAAAAGAGUACCUUCUGGAACCUCCUUGGCUAUGUAUCCAACAACACUAGCAUUUGGCUGCGCUCGAAUAGCACGAAAUAUAGCUUCCAUUAAUGUUGUCCCAUCAUCCCCCUUUGCCUUGACAUGAAUAACAACAUCUAUACCUCCCGCAACAUCAUGAGCAGGUGUUCUCAAAACCUCAAGCAAAGCAGCCUUCUUUUGACUACACAAGAAAUGAAUCUGCUUCUUGGUAAAUACCAUUAUAGUGUCCGGGAACUCAUAACCUAGUAACCAAAGAUUCAUGGCGGAUGAUUUCAGGUACCGCAAAUCAUCCGAAGGUGGCGGCGUAGCUAUUGCAAGCGCAUCAGCAGACCCCCAUAGUUCAUCCUUGUGUUUAUUCCAAUGCGAAUACAGUGUCUUAAGUCGUAGUUUGAACUUAUCGGUGUUAAUCUUAUAUGCAUUUUGGCCCCCGCUAGGGUUCCGCUGGUCAGCCAUAUGGGUUCCUCAGCCCUGACAAGCCAAUUUUCAAUCCAGAAAGAAAAAAAGUAAAAGAAAAAUUCGACACCAGUUGUGGUUUAAAACACCUAGUUCUGGCGGCGCCGCACCAUAAUCAGUACGAAAAAGAGAAAAUACUAGGUUUAGGGUUAUGGAACAAGCCAAAACACAAUUGACUCUGGAAUAGAGAAAACGAACAAAAACACAGAAAUAAAAGAAGGAUAAUUCAGGGAAAAAAGAGACCAAGUUUCUCGAAGAUCCAGUAGAAGAAAGAAACUUACCGGAAUCGAAGAACAAGCUUCAAAAAAUGAAAAGGGAGAACUCGAGAGAAGAGAGUGAGUGAAAUUUUUGUUUCCUUUAAUGUUUUGGACUUCCGAACUCAAUAAGAAGUUCUUGCGUAAAUUAGUACUUUUUAUCAAAUUAAUUAAUUAGUUCCCACUUUUUUUUCAAAGUUAAAAUUCAAUUCAUUAUAAAUGAGGCGCACAGUUACAGAUGCAGAGCCCACACACAAAUUGAAAAUAAUCUAAGGCCCAGUAAAAAUAAAAACUAAAUUGUAACCCAUAGCAGAAAAACUCUAAACCCUACAUGUAGAUACGAUCCAGUGCAUCAUAAUUUUCACAGCCUCUCAAUUGAGCUGCUGGUCACCUAAGAAAGAAAAUCACCACCAGGCUUGAUCUGAUCUCCCAAAUAGUAACCUUACAGCCUUAGCAACCCACGCUAAAGCUCAAGAUAAGAUGAAGGCAAGCAGCAAUCCAAGAGAGAGAGGAGACACAAAAGCUCCAUAUACACACAUGCAACCACACUGUUUAUUGACGGGAAAUCUUUUUUAAUAAAAUAAUUUAAUAUUAUUUUUAAUUUUAAUUUAGAAAAUAAAAUAUUAAUAAAUUUAUAUAUGUAAGUGUUGAUAAAAAUUUUAAAAAGUAAAAAAUGACUUAUUUUUAAAAUUUUUUUUACUAUUCUAAAUAUAAAAAAUUAUUAAAAAAAAAUAUUAUUAUAAAAAAUAGUUUUCGUAAAAUAAAUGGCACCUAAAAGUUGUAACCUUUUUCUUUUUCCACUCAUGGUAGUUGAAAUGCUCUCUUUGGUUGGGCUUUGAGUUUGAAUCUUAUUAUUUUGUGGGCGUAGUUAGAGCUUUGCUCUUAUUGGAUUUGCGCGUGUGCCCCUUUAUGAUGGGUCUUACACCAAUUAUGCUUUAAUAAAUCCUAUUUUCAUUUUUGUAAAACAUAUUAUUAGCAUUGAUUUACUCAUUUUUCAAAUUGUGAGAAAUAUCAAUAAAUCUAAAUUUUAUAAUAUCAAAGUUAUUUCGUUUCAAGUUAAAAAAAAUUAGAAACAUCAACUUCUUGUACAUUACAUUCUUCUAUUACAAAGAAAGGGGAAAAUCCAUUAAAAAUCAUUAAUUAGAAACUAUUCUAGGCCAAGCCACGCCUUAAGCAUUCUCUUGAAGUAGAGAAAUAACUGCAGAUAGGAGGAAACUAUAAAACAUCCAAAUUUGAACUGCUAGACCAUUGAAUCAUAACGAAGAACAAUAUUUCAGAUGUACAACUUUAAUCCAUUAAAACUAAUAUCGGCAACUUACGACCAGAAAUCUAUCUUCCAAGCCUCCUACUUGACAUUCAAAAGACAACUGAUUAAAUAAGAACCAUAAGAAUUACCACUAGCUGAUGGCUUCAAUGCAAGCCACGUCAGGAAACUGAAUUUCUAAAGCAAAAUUGCCUGCAGCUGCUACAUAGUACAAAGAAAAGGGGUAAAAAACAUUCUUCACAUCUAUCUGAAUCUGGAACGCUUGGCCAAGCUGCUACUAGGAGGGGCUCGAGACUUCCCAAGUUUCUUCAUUUUCCUUCUAUUCCUCUCCACCUCACUGUCUGACUCAUCCCCUUUCUCCCUGUCCGCAUUGCUUGCUUCCCUCUCUAACUCUUCCCAUGUCUUGCCCUUUUCUUCCUCAGAAUCGUCAUCUGAAUCAUCAUCCUCCUCAUCAUCAUCAGAUUCCACCAAUGACUCACUAUCAGAGUCAUCAUCUUCUGACUCAGACUCAGGUUCGGCGUCUGAUGGCUCAUAACCCUUGUCUGAAUCCUCGGAAUUCUCAGAGUCUGAAUCACUUGCUUCCAGAUUCAAAAAUUCCCAACCCCCUUCAUCUAUGAAACUCUGAGGGUCAUCAGUAAUUGUCUUCAGUAUCUGCCGCCAGUUCAAAUUCAACUUGCUCUCGUAAUACUUGAUGUCUGUAGUGUCGAGCCAUUCCUUUAUACCAUCCAGUGAUGUCGAUGGAAUAGAAUCAAUCCUAAGGACAUCUCGCUUGAAAUCCUUAAACACAAUGGUCAUAUCAAAAUUUUUCUGUCCAAGACCAACUCUCUCCAAGUUCACAAUCUCAAUCUCACUUAGGGUGACAACAAGGAAAGGAGUCUCAAUUAGCUCGACCAAGCAGCUUGAAGUUGGGAUGAUGAAAGAUGAGGUUUUGUAGGGCACCCCAUGGAAGCCAAGCUCUCUCAAAGGCUGAUCAAACUCAAGGUCGAGUCCACUAAACUGCGGUUGGCUCCAGAGAUCGUUCACCCGAUUUACAAAGCUCUGAAAAUCCAUAUUGAUCUUAUUCUUCCUGUCUCUUUCCCUUUGCUCUUCUUCAAUUUCAUCAGGGUCAUAUGCAGACCUCUUUCCGCCUCCCAAAGUCUGGACCGACUCCAUCACUUCUACAUAAAACUGCACAUCCUUGGUUUUCUUGUUCCCUACCAUGAUAUGAUUGUGAAGGUGAAAGUGGAGAAGAGUGAUCAUUUCCCUCUCUGCAGGCUGGAAAAAAGUAUGUUUGAUGUUUGCAAACAUAACAUCCACGCGCUCAUCAUUUCUACUGGUUGAAAAUCUAAAUCCAUUUACAUGAGCUUCCAGAGCACCAGGUAGUUUUCUUCCCCGGCCACCAAAUGCCGGACGGAUCCAAAGGUCUGCCAACCUUAUUGGCUUGAAUCUACUCCCCGCAAGCUGAAGUUUCUCCUGAGUAACCAAGGUUGCCCUCUCAGCCCUCUCAGACUCCCUAGCCACAACAUGCCGUCUAAGUGUCUUAAUCUGCUGUACCACUUCGCUGAUGUGCCUAGGGUCCUUCGACCGAAAUGAAACCUCCUUAAGGUAAAUAGCCCCUGGAUACUUCAGUGAAUUAGCAUCAUGUGG
This 5337-nucleotide long non-coding RNA is filed under the name Manihot esculenta (cassava). Its description in RNAcentral is "long non-coding RNA (MESC_LNC002559)". The record is from RNAcentral. Lineage: Eukaryota; Viridiplantae; Streptophyta; Magnoliopsida; Malpighiales; Euphorbiaceae.